AUUGAACGCUGGCGGCAUGCUUUACACAUGCAAGUCGAACGGCAGCGCGGGCUUCGGCCUGGCGGCGAGUGGCGAACGGGUGAGUAAUACAUAGGAACGUGACCAGUAGUGGGGGAUAGCACGGCGAAAGGCGGAUUAAUACAGCAUACGACAAGAGGGUGAAAGCGGGGGAUCUUCGGACCUCGCGCGAUUGGAGCGGACGACGGCAGAUUAGCUAGUUGGUGGGGUAAAGGCCUACCAAGGCGACGAUCUGUAGCUGGUCUGAGAGGACGACCAGCCACACUGGGACUGAGACACGGCCCAGACUCCUACGGGAGGCAGCAGUGGGGAAUUUUGGGCAAUGGGCGAAAGCCUGAUGCAGCAAUGCCGCGUGUGUGAUGAAGGCCUUCGGGUUGUAAAGCACUUUUAGUGGGGACGAAAAGGACUGUGCCAAUACCACGGUUCCAUGACGGUACCCGAAGAAUAAGCACCGGCUAACUACGUG
This 484-nucleotide ribosomal RNA is filed under the name uncultured bacterium. RNAcentral's name for it is "partial 16S ribosomal RNA". It matches the Rfam family "Bacterial small subunit ribosomal RNA", at positions 29 to 507 of the family's 1533-position model. The record is from RNAcentral.